CUCCCAAAGUUCUAGCAUAACAUGUGUGAGCCACCACAUCUGGCCUGCAAUGCUUUUUUUGGCCAAUUAUAAGUUAGCUAUAUUAAAUGAGACUAACAGUGAUGUUUAAUGAUACUAAAUAAGACCUGGAUAAUAUAAACCACCUUUUAUGUGAUCAUUAAUAUUUUUUAUGGUAGGCUGUAAGUGUACAGUGACAGAAAUGAGGUUCAAAAGCCAAGCAGGUAUGCCUGGGAUAAGUUAUAGCCUUUUGUUAGCUUUAUGCCACUAGCAUUCAUAAGGCACAUACUAUAUUCAAGGACAGCGCUAUGGUGUGAGUGUUUGCAUCCCUCCAAAAUUCACAUGUUGAAAUCUUCUUUUUUUUUUCUUUUUCUUUCCUUGUUUUUUUUUUUUUUUUUUGGCAGGUAACCUUCUGAGCUAGAGUAGGCUCAGAGACUCCCUCAUCUGUUGAAAUCGAAUCUCCAAUGUUUUGCCUUUAAGAGGUGGGGCUGUUGGGUCAUGAGGGCAGAACCCUCGUGAAUGGGAAUAAUCCCGCCAUAAAAGAGGCCUGAGGGAGUUUGCUUGCCCCUUUCCUCCUUCCACCAUGUGAGAAUGCAGCAAGAAGGUGCCCUGUAUGAAGCAGAGGGCCCUCACCAGGCACCGAAUCCGGUGGCACCUUGAUGUUGAACUUCUCGGCCUUCAGAACUGUGACACAGAGAAUGAGUGGAAUACUAAUACAUUGAAGGGCAAAAUCAAAACCCCAGAAGAUCUCUAAAAGUCUGAAUGAAUCAGCCCAUAUUACAAGAUAAAGUCCAUAAUGGUAAACGGAAGGCUCUGGUCUUGGUUUACAAAAUCCAACCACUCAAAUAUGUAGUUGCUGGAAGUUUUGUGGCCAUGGGGAUGCUGACAAAGAUUGCUUGGGAUGCACACAAGGCAGCGGCGAAGCCUGAGGGGUGCUGCCAGGCCGGGCUCUCCACUGGCCACGAAUUUGUACAUAUGGCUUUGGAAACCUCAUCCAACACUAAGUAAUGAACAUACAUGAGGAUACUAUGUAUUUUUCAACCUGCAAGCCCAAGAUUUCAAAUUCUUUGGUUUAUCGCAGAGAACACAUCUCUCAAAUUGUCUUCAAGGAGCACUGCAGGAGAAAGUCCUGGCAACUUGGCGCAGCGAAUUUGAUCAGCACCAUACGUACGACCUGUCUCAGGAACGGUGCCAUGUGUGUGACUAGGACUGCAAAGCAGCUUGUGUUCGUGGGGGAAAUGACAGGCACAGGAAGGAAAAGCUGAGAACACUGAAACGGUUCCUAAUCGUGCAGUGGGGAAAGGAGGGCGACUGCCGCGCAGAGUGGCACGUUGGCUGGAAGAGGGGAUUGAUCAGCAGUGCUGGCAGGAACAGCAUAGGCUUGUCGUGUGAUCUAACAGAAGAGGCAGCAAUCUGGAGGCGCCCCAGAUCAGAGAAGAGACAUCAAGCCCCAGGAGAAAUGGAUUUCCUUUCUCCCCACCCAUCAGCUGGGUAGGAAGCCCGAAGGAGCCUUUCAUGGAACUAUGGGAAGGGCUCCUCUGACGCAGAGGGGAUGAACUGGAAGCAAGAUGCUGACUGUUUCCAAAGGCUUGACAGUCAGAAGCAGGCAGGCUUCAGCCUAUUGAGAUACUUUACCCAAGAGGAUUUCCGCUUAGGUUCUGUCUUGAAAGAAAUAUUCGCUCCCAAAUUUCCUCCCAUCAAGAGUGCUUCUCCCUACAGAAGGCUAAGGCUCACAGGUUGUCCCCAGGGACACAUUUCUUUCAAGUAGGAUGACUGGUAUGUUUAGACUGAAAAGCUGAUUUACUGGAAGAUUGCUAUCACCCCCUGGCCUACCAUGUCGUUGGUGUGGCCAGUGUUUAUCAGACAGUGGUGUUUCCAGCUUAGGCCUGAAUGGAAGAAGAAACUGAAAGAAGAAAUAAAAAGAGA
This 1923-nucleotide long non-coding RNA is filed under the name Homo sapiens (human). RNAcentral's name for it is "HSALNT0323314". Lineage: Eukaryota; Metazoa; Chordata; Mammalia; Primates; Hominidae. The record is from RNAcentral.